Molecule: long non-coding RNA, 338 nt
Filed under: Homo sapiens (human)
Lineage: Eukaryota; Metazoa; Chordata; Mammalia; Primates; Hominidae
Description: long non-coding RNA NONHSAT090801
Source: RNAcentral
CAUAUGCAACCCACUGCAGUACCACAUCAUGAUGUCCAAGAAACUCUGCAUUCAGAUGACCACAGGGGCCUUCAUAGCUGGAAACCUGCAUUCCAUGAUUCAUGUAGGGCUUGUAUUUAGGUUAGUUUUCUGUGGAUCGAAUCACAUCAACCACUUUUACUGUGAUAUUCUUCCCUUGUAUAGACUCUCUUGUGUUGAUCCUUAUAUCAAUGAACUGGUUCUAUUCAUCUUCUCAGGUUCAGUUCAAGUCUUUACCAUAGGUAGUGUCUUAAUAUCUUAUCUCUAUAUUCUUCUUACUAUUUUCAAAAUGAAAUCCAAAGAGGGAAGGGCCAAAGCUU